Molecule: ribosomal RNA, 1858 nt
Filed under: Triticum aestivum (bread wheat)
Lineage: Eukaryota; Viridiplantae; Streptophyta; Magnoliopsida; Poales; Poaceae
Description: partial small subunit ribosomal RNA
Source: RNAcentral
UCAAAUUCUAAACAAGACUUCAAAGUACGGUAAAUUGCUCCAUUUUUUGGUUCCACGCAUUUGAGGCAAUUGUAUUGAUUUGCUGUGUCCCUGGAGCUGCAUCAUGCCGAGAAUCAUCCAAAUCAUAGACGGUCUCCGGGGUGCUUCACUAUGAUUGACACCAGCAUGUAAACAUACGAGAAAUGUAAGCAGUAAAACAGUCGGUACAGAUUACAAAGGAAGCCGCUGUAACUUAUUCCAUGCAACGACCUGAUGGGAUGAUUUGUUCUUGUAAAGUUUGCUCGCGGCCUUGCCCACCUCCCUUCUGCGCCUUGAUAUGCUUUGUGAUGGUCUCAGCAACACAAGCUACAGUACUGUUUUUUUUUUUGAAACGGAUUUUCAUUGAUUAAGAAGAAGAGAGAUGCCUGGUUAAUUAGAGGAAAACCGGGCGAAAACCAAGAUUACAAACCCCACAUGGGGCAUUCGUGGACGACUUGGCCACAAACGCCAAACAGUCGACCAAAGCGUCGAUGACAGGACAGCUCCGAUUUUGCUGACGAGUUUCACAGGAGAAAGUUGCAAGAUUCGCAUCGACCUAGUCCAACGCAACAUCCGGAGAGCACCGUCCACUGAAAACCGCCCUCAUGGAGUCAUCAUUGCCGCAGUGGCCCUGCCGCCCGCAGCUCCGACUUCUCUGUCACAGCCAGAAAUCAGCAUAGGCACAUCCAUUGGCGCACCGGACCUUCGACAUCAGAAGGACAAGCCGCGACCCAGCUCUGCUCGCCACCAUCGUCGUCACCACACACAUCACAACACCACACCCACCUCGCAUCAUCGGUUGGCCACCUGCCAACGUGAUGCCGUGUAUGUCCAGCCCAAGGGAAGCGUGGAGAAGGAUCAUCGGUCUUCAAAGCAACGCCCCAAAGGGGGAAACGCCGCGGGGGCGACGUCGUUGCCCAACCCAGAUGGGUCUAGGCUUUCGCCCAAAGAACCAGAUCCGAGAAUGAAGCGUGUCGAAGAAACUCCACGACGGCGCCUUCAAGAAGGGAAACGACGCCCGUAGGUGCCGCCACCGCCGGCCGGCAAGAGCCGGGCAAACUUUCGCUCGGAGUAGACUUGACAGCACAUCCCCACGCCACCGACGACAAAGCGCUGCCGGCCCGCACCGCCACUGGCCCACACACCUCCUGUGGGAUGACGGCGUCACCACCACGCAGGAGCCACCCACCUCUCUGCCAACAAAGCGCUAGCGAGCCAGACCCAGCCGCAGGCCAGAUCAGGCAACCCGCCACAGCCACACUGCCGCAGAACAGACCAAAGACCAGAACGCCGAGCACCAGGACCAAGAAGGGGGGCUGCCACCCCGCCCAAACACGUCGGAGAGGACAAGCUGAGAGGGAGGGCUGCCACCCCAUCCCGAACUCGCCGGAACGAGCUGCCGAGCCAAACCCGCGCAACCCGUCGAUCCGGCCACAGCCGCCCAGAUCGGCGAGCCACCGCCACAGGACUGUCGAGGAAGCCUCUAGAAGCCGGCCUGGUGCAGAUCCGCGCGGAGACGAGCACCUACAUGGCAGAAGGGGAGCUGCCACGCCACCCUGGCCGCCGAAGAGGCGCCGCCGGUCGAAGGUCAGAUCCGCGAGCCAGCAGCUGCACCGCGGAGAAGAAAGAGGCGCCAACCCCUUUGAAUCGCCGGAGAUGAGGGCCGCUGCGAGCAGUCGCUGGAACUACCGCGCAGUGUAGCCGAGGUGGACCGAGCCUCCCCCACCGAGAUCUGCCGCCGCCAGGCGAGAACAGGGCCCCGCCGCCGCCGUCCGCCGCGCGAGCUUAGCUCGGCGGUGUCCUCCGGCGACGGCGAGGGGAGGGAGAGCGACGAGGAGGG